RNAcentral lists this ribosomal RNA (497 nucleotides) under uncultured bacterium. RNAcentral describes it as "partial 16S ribosomal RNA". It matches the Rfam family "Bacterial small subunit ribosomal RNA", at positions 28 to 507 of the family's 1533-position model. The record is from RNAcentral.
GAUGAACGCUGGCGGCGUGCCUAAUACAUGCAAGUCGAGCGAACAGACGAGGAGCUUGCUCCUCUGACGUUAGCGGCGGACGGGUGAGUAACACGUGGAUAACCUACCUAUAAGACUGGGAUAACUUCGGGAAACCGGAGCUAAUACCGGAUAAUAUAUUGAACCGCAUGGUUCAAUAGUGAAAGACGGUUUUGCUGUCACUUAUAGAUGGAUCCGCGCCGCAUUAGCUAGUUGGUAAGGUAACGGCUUACCAAGGCAACGAUGCGUAGCCGACCUGAGAGGGUGAUCGGCCACACUGGAACUGAGACACGGUCAAGACUCCUAAGGGAGGCAGCAGUAGGGAAUCGGCCGCAAUGGGCGAAAGCCUGACGGAGCAACGCCGCGUGAGUGAUGAAGGUCUUCGGAUCGUAAAACUCUGUUAUUAGGGAAGAACAAAUGUGUAAGUAACUAUGCACGUCUUGACGGUACCUAAUCAGAAAGCAACGGCUAACUACGUG